Girardinichthys multiradiatus is the source of this 491-nucleotide long non-coding RNA. RefSeq lists it as uncharacterized. NCBI's taxonomy places the organism in Eukaryota, Metazoa, Chordata, Actinopteri, Cyprinodontiformes, Goodeidae. The transcript has 4 exons. The record is from RefSeq and is a predicted model, not a curated record.
GUAUCUUUGUGAUGUUGCAGUUAGCUUAACAACGAGAGAAUGUUGGAGAUAAGCUACAUUUAUUUUGCGACUAUAGUGUGGCUCAACUCGGAGUUUUAAACUGGAGUCGCCAUCUCUGCCAUGUGUCUAGCGGGCGCUUUAGCAGAAAGUGGAAAAAACAAGACAGGUGGGAAGUCAAAAUUGGAAAUCAAAGAAGAAGAAAGCGCUAAUUUUCACGGAGAGCAACACUGACAUUGACACAAAAAAGGAGGGCUACUGUGACCAAUCUAAUAUUGCCCCAGGAACAGAAAGUGUUUGUCCAUGGGUGUUCUGUUCCCAUCUGCCCCGGUUGCUGCCCCGCCUCGCUCCGGCAGUUCCUGAGCUGUCCGCUCAUCGAACAGGACCAGAGGACCCGUUGGUCACUGCUAACAGCCAUUCCAGAAACGUGGUGUAAUUGGUUUAUUGUGGGACGGGGAUAGAUUGGAUCGUAGCAUGGCAUCAGUUGAACCCAG